Molecule: long non-coding RNA, 1457 nt
Organism: Zea mays
Lineage: Eukaryota; Viridiplantae; Streptophyta; Magnoliopsida; Poales; Poaceae
Exons: 2
Source: RefSeq, a predicted model, not a curated record
UGUGCUGCGACCAAGCCUUCAUCACCAUCGUAGGGGAGGGAUAGAGUUGAGCGCCGCCAUGGGGGAGAGGAACUCGAUUCACCGACCACCGCGUCUCGGGGUUGUGCCUUGGGGUUGUCCCCGGCUAUAGGGUGGAAGGGUGAAGCCGUGCCGCUCGGGAUUCAUGACUGGUACCAUCGUAAUUCCUCGCCAUGGAAGAUCGUCGCCGCGGAUCCGCCCUUCGCAGUGAGCCAUUGUACCUCCGACACUAACCUCGGUGAGCAUGCCCCCUAUCGCUUCGCACUGUCAUCCUCUACGUGUACCAUAGGGCGGAUUGGAGGAUAGCCGUAGGAAUCGUCGGGCGCGCGUUGUUCGGCCAUGGCGCCGCCGUGCUGUGCAGUAGCGUCGCCGUGCCCUGCGUCGGGGGGGGGGGGGGGGAGGGCGAUCCCUCUUCCGUCCAUCCGAGAUUGGACGAUAUGGAUUAGAGUAUGGAAAACGAUUGGGUUGAAUAGAUCAAGGGACGUCCGUUAAGUGGUCGAUGGUCUUGAUUAGAUCGCGAGCGCAUUAAAUCCUAUUCUUGGAUCGCUGAUCCAACAGUCCAUCCAGCGUACUGGUUCGGUUAUUAACAGAUCAGAUUUGGGUCGUUCGUCUCUGAUCGGACGGCCGAGAACCCACCAUACCCCUUCGCCGUGCCAUUCUUACUUAAGAGCUCCUCUGUUUUCUUAGUAUCAACCCGCAAUCCCGAGUAGUUGAAAGACCAUUACGCAGAGGCCCUGGAAUUUAUAGAUUGACCCCUGCACUUCUCAGAAAUUGUGUGCGCAGUCCAGAACUUGAAGGAAUUUAAUAAAUGAAUAUAGAAAAUGAAUUUCUAGUGUAAAAAUAAUCCAGAACUUGUUUAAUUCAUAGAAAAUCCAUUUUAACUCCUUUUUAAUCCAUUUUAGUUGCAAUAAUUUUGUAUUAAUAUUGUUUAUCACUUGGUAGUUCUGUUUAACUAUGAACCAUAGAUUAAAAUUAUCCACUUGAUUUAUUCUUUACUAAGCACUUAAUAACUUCGGAAAAUCAUAACUCAAAAACCUUAACUCUGAAUUUAGUGAUUCUCGAACCUAUGAUCUCGUUACGAUGCGUAGAUUAUUAUCAUGUAUUUUGUACUCAUGUUUGGUGUGAUGUUAAUUUCUCUUAUACCAUGCUUGUUUGUAUUGCUACGAGUAAACGAGCAAGUGACCGAGGACCCAAGUGUUCAGUAGGAGGAAAUUGCUGUGCAGGAGUUCGUUGAAGGAGAAGAACAGUUGGUCCAAGAGGAGGCCUACAACGAGGAGUAUGGGCUUAUCUAGGUGGCGUCUCCCAGUCAGCUUGAUGGCGCCAAGGAAUAAUUAUUUAGUUCAUUUUAUUGUUAUCAUCUAUUUUUGUAAUACUUUCGCUAUGUAAUAAUGAUACUUGUGACAUUUAUCUCUAUACACUUUGUCAUUAUAUGUGAUGUU